CCCCCUCCACUCCCCCACCCUUCACCCCCCUUCUCCCAAUAAGCUGUUUCUGAUAUAUGUUGGGUACCAUAGAGUGAGGCUGAGAACAGGAAGCGGAGGCAGAAUCAGAGAGGAUUCUGGAAAGGUCUCUGUGUUGUCUUUUCCACUGAGAAUACAGAAAUUAUAAUUAAUUAGUAAAGCUUUGUGGCUUUACUGUGGAAAUCUGGACAAUUUCAGGAGGAAACAUUAUAUUAUCAUAUUAUUUUUGGAUGCUGGGCUUUGCAGUGAUUUAUCAUUCUCUUUCAAUAAGGAAUAAGAAAGAAAAUAAGGACAAAGUAAAAAAAAAAAGAAAAGAGCCAGAAAUAAAACUAGUUCCAAUGAGAAUAAAUAUCACCAGAAAAUCUCAUCGCGAUCUCAAUGGCUGAAGAUUAAAGUUUGCAAAAUUCUCUUUGCUCUUAGGUUGGAAAAAUGUGGCUAUGUGAAUACGUAAACUUAUAUUUGUUCUACUGCAAUUAAUUUUGAGAAGCUCUGGGCCCAGGAAAAAAGAAUGAGAAGGGCAUGAAGAAACUUCAGUCUUGAAAAAGCUUCAGCUCCCACGGAGAAACUUUUCUUACCAGUUCCAUUUUCUGCUAGAAAUGCAAGCUUUUUCUUUUCACUAUAGCAAAUAAUCUAGGGGCUAAAUUCUGAGAUUUGCCAUUUCUCAGAAACAUAAAGGUAAGCCUAUCCUUUCUUCUCAGCCAGACAAAAUGUUUCUGUUCAGAUGAUGCCCAUUUGUUAUGAUGCCAUAUAUCUUCUCUAAAGUAUCAGUGGGAAAAUGAAAUGUCAGUCUUUACUGAGGUCUACCUAUAGUAAUUUGUGUUAUUAGGUAAUUACUGAAGAUACUUUCCACCAGAAUGUAGGAAACUUUUA
Molecule: long non-coding RNA, 888 nt
Filed under: Struthio camelus australis
Lineage: Eukaryota; Metazoa; Chordata; Aves; Struthioniformes; Struthionidae
Description: lncRNA (ENSSCUG00000010068.1)
Source: RNAcentral